AUGCUCUUCGAUAUAAAAGAGUGGUUCACCGACGAGCGGGCGUCAGCCAUGACACUAUUUGAGGUGACGCAUGGCUGCACACCAUCGAAGAUGAAAGCCAAGAAGGGCGCAUGUGGCAUAUUCCAGGCCGCCAUGGUCGCCGACACCAACCUCGUCAUGGAGGUAGUCCUGAAAGAGCACAUGGACAUUUUUAAGGGGGUGAGCUCGCUUGUUGACGCGGGCGGUGCCCUUGGUGCCGCAGCCGCAGCAAUCGCAAAGGCCCUCCCACACGUCAAGUGCACCGUGCUAGACCUCCCACACGUGAUUGUUGGCGCACCUACCAGCCACGACGUCCAGUAUGUUGCUGGCGAUGUGUUUGAGUAUGUACCACCAGCCGACGCUAUCCUUCUCAAGUGGAUUCUAUGCAUAUGGCGAGACGAAGAUGCCGUCAAGGUACUACGGCGGUGCAAGGAAGCUAUACCAGCUGGAGGGAAGGUGAUAAUCUUCGAUGGCGUGGUAGAUUCUGGGGCGUCACAGAAUGUUAUUCUUAAGGAGACGCAAGUUCUAUUUGAUAUCAUGAUGAUGGGCAUCGAUGGGGUCGAACGAGACGAGCAGCAGUGGAAGAAGAUGUUCGUUGAAGCAGGAUUUGGGGACUAUAAGUUCACUCCAGUGGGACAUCGAUCCAUCAUUGAAGUCUACCCAUGA
This 684-nucleotide ribosomal RNA is filed under the name Triticum aestivum (bread wheat). Its description in RNAcentral is "partial small subunit ribosomal RNA". The record is from RNAcentral. Lineage: Eukaryota; Viridiplantae; Streptophyta; Magnoliopsida; Poales; Poaceae.